Molecule: long non-coding RNA, 1133 nt
Organism: Aegilops tauschii subsp. strangulata
Lineage: Eukaryota; Viridiplantae; Streptophyta; Magnoliopsida; Poales; Poaceae
Source: RefSeq, a predicted model, not a curated record
CAGGAGGGGUAUGUAGAGAGCAGCCCACAACGCCUGCCAUACCACAAGCCCACGCGGCCGGCGCCGCCAAGCUCCCUCGGCGGGCCGUCGCCAGCUCGUCGUCGCCGUCGUGUCCCCAUCCUUGCCAGCUCGAGCGCCGCCGCCGGCCAGUCGCCCCACCCCUGCCGGAACACUGUUCCGGUUGCACUGGUGAGUCGAAUCCACUCGUCUCCUCUCGUCCGUCUCCUCUCGUCCGUCUCCUCCCCGCCAAUCCCCGGGUUGCUGCCUGAAGCGGCGGGUCGGAUUCAGAGAGGGACCUGCCACUCGCCACCUCGCCCUCCGGCGACGGCGACCUCGCUUGGCCGAACCACACCGGCACGGCGGGCACCGGACGAGAGAUUGUUCGGCAGAAUGCAGCGGCCGGUGGGUCAAGCGACAAAGAGCACACACCAAUCCAUUUAUUACUGUAAUUGUUAUGCAAAACAUCCGGUCCGAGCGGCAAGACAAUGCGUAAUCGUAACGCAUUCGCAUGUGAAAGCCAUUGCAUAAUUGAGAAAAAAGGCAACGAAGCACAGUAGUAUACUCGACAACAACAAGAAGACCAAAAACCACAGCACCGGCAACUCGAGACUGCUUCUGAAUCCAUAAUGCCGGUGUUCCUCUCACCCCAGAAGGUGGUAUAGGGAAGGUAUACCGUAUGCUUACAGAUUGCCUUUGGAGUGCUUUGCCAACAAACAUAUCAACUGGAGAUGGUAUCAGCUUGAAGUUGAGGGCAUCCUUUGAUAUUAUACUCCACCUGACCAGAGGAUGGCAAGCCUUUCAAGCAAGAUAGUGCCCCACAAUCUUUGAUGGUUAAGUUGGUCAAUGCCUUGCAUGAGUGGAGCCUUAUGGUUGUUAAAGCUGAACACGUCAUUAUUUCAACUUCACUUAGCUCAGAACAAUUGAAGUCAAUCUUAACAUCCUUCAGGGAGGACAUACCAAUCAAGGAUAGUUUCUUCAGAGCAAAUCGGCAUCAACAUCAAGAAAGCUGAGAUGUACUCGGCUGGCACCAACAAGCGCAGAGGAUGCACCACACUGAACCGAAGGAGAAAAAUGUUGUUUGAAAUGUGAAUGUUAGGUCUAUCAAAAUGCAAUGAAAGGAUGCAAUCUGACUA